This 489-nucleotide ribosomal RNA is filed under the name uncultured bacterium. RNAcentral's name for it is "partial 16S ribosomal RNA". It matches the Rfam family "Bacterial small subunit ribosomal RNA", at positions 30 to 507 of the family's 1533-position model. The record is from RNAcentral.
AUUGAACGCUGGCGGCAGGCCUAACACAUGCAAGUCGAACGGUAACAGGAAACAGCUUGCUGUUUCGCUGACGAGUGGCGGACGGGUGAGUAAUGUCUGGGAAACUGCCUGAUGGAGGGGGAUAACUACUGGAAACGGUAGCUAAUACCGCAUAACGUCGCAAGACCAAAGAGGGGGACCCUCGGGCCUCUUGCCAUCGGAUGCGCCCAGAUGGGAUUAGCUUGUUGGUGGGGUAACGGCUCACCAAGGCGACGAUCCCUAGCUGGUCUGAGAGGAUGACAGGCAAAACUGAAAUUAGGAAAGGGUCCGACUUCUUACGGAGGGAGGCGGGGGGAAUAUUGCACAAUGGGCGCAAGCCUGAUGCAGCCAUGCCGCGUGUAUGAAGAAGGCCUUCGGGUUGUAAAGUACUUUCAGCGGGGAGGAAGGGAGUAAAGUUAAUACCUUUGCUCAUUGACGUUACCCGCAGAAGAAGCACCGGCUAACUCCGUG